This 279-nucleotide ribosomal RNA is filed under the name uncultured bacterium. RNAcentral's name for it is "partial 16S ribosomal RNA". It matches the Rfam family "Bacterial small subunit ribosomal RNA", at positions 524 to 797 of the family's 1533-position model. The record is from RNAcentral.
UACGUAGGGUGCGAGCGUUGUCCGGAAUUACUGGGCGUAAAGAGCUCGUAGGUGGUUUGUCGCGUUGUUCGUGAAAACCUGAGGCUUAACCUUGGGCGUGCGGGCGAUACGGGCAGACUGGAGUACUGCAGGGGAGACUGGAAUUCCUGGUGUAGCGGUGGAAUGCGCAGAUAUCAGGAGGAACACCGGUGGCGAAGGCGGGUCGCUGGGCAUACUGACGCUGAGGACGAAAGCUGGGGAGCGAACGGGAUUAGAACCGUACCGCGAGACCAAGACCAG